AAUUGCUAGUAAUGGCAGGUCAGCAUACUGCCGUGAAUACGUUCCCGGGCCUUGUACACACCGCCCGUCACACCAUGAGAGUUGGAAAUACCCGAAGCCUGUGAGCUAACAGUAAUGAGGCAGCAGUCGAAGGUAGAGCCGAUGAUUGGGGUGAAGUCGUAACAAGGUAGC
Molecule: ribosomal RNA, 171 nt
Filed under: uncultured bacterium
Lineage: Bacteria
Description: partial 16S ribosomal RNA
Rfam family: Bacterial small subunit ribosomal RNA
Source: RNAcentral